GACGAACGCUGGCGGCGUGCUUAACACAUGCAAGUCGAACGGUAAGGCCCUUCGGGGUACACGAGUGGCGAACGGGUGAGUAACACGUGGGUGAUCUGCCCUGCACUUCGGGAUAAGCCUGGGAAACUGGGUCUAAUACCGGAUAGGACUCCUGGCUUCAUGGUUGGGGGUGGAAAGCUUUUGCGGUGUGGGAUGGGCCCGCGGCCUAUCAGCUUGUUGGUGGGGUAAUGGCCUACCAAGGCGACGACGGGUAGCCGGCCUGAGAGGGUGACCGGUCAAACUGGGACUGAGAUGCGGCCCAGACUCCUACGGGAGGCAGCAGUGGGGAAUAUUGCACAAUGGGCGCAAGCCUGAUGCAGCGACGCCGCGUGAGGGAUGACGGCCUUCGGGUUGUAAACCUCUUUCAGCUAUGACGAAGCGCAAGUGACGGUAGUAGCAGAAGAAGGACCGGCCAACUACGUGCCAGCAGCCGCCGUAA
Molecule: ribosomal RNA, 478 nt
Filed under: uncultured bacterium
Lineage: Bacteria
Description: partial 16S ribosomal RNA
Rfam family: Bacterial small subunit ribosomal RNA
Source: RNAcentral